Non-coding RNA from Gymnothorax javanicus (giant moray), 73 nucleotides. The record is from the annotation of a GenBank genome assembly. NCBI's taxonomy places the organism in Eukaryota, Metazoa, Chordata, Actinopteri, Anguilliformes, Muraenidae.
GGGGGGUUGGUGCAGUGGUUAGCACUGCUGUCUCACAAUACAGAAGAUCCAGGUUGAAGCCCUGGCCGGCCUG